Molecule: non-coding RNA, 1727 nt
Organism: Thamnophis sirtalis
Lineage: Eukaryota; Metazoa; Chordata; Lepidosauria; Squamata; Natricidae
Source: RefSeq, a predicted model, not a curated record
UAUUCACAACAACUGUGUUCUUUUUUCUCAGGCGCCACAUCAGCCCCCAGUCUCAUCUUCAUCCUUCCUAGCAUUUUCUACAUCCGAAUUAUUCCCAAUGAAAAAGAACCACUACGAUCAAGACCCAAAAUCCAGGCUGCGUGUUUUGCUGCCCUUGGUUUCAUUUUCAUGGUGAUGAGCCUCACUUUUAUCAUCGUUGACUGGGUAACCACAGGGAAGAGCUCUGGAGUGAAUCACUAGCGAAGCCCACUCCUCACCCCAAGAGACCAGGUGGUUCUAACCAGGGAGACCAUUCAGUGCCAGAGAAACAGUGGUGCCUUUUGCUGUUUAUCCUCACUCAUCCUGGAGACACCAUAAUUACCUGUCCCAACACUUUGGAGAAGUGUUGGAAGCCAUCCCCUUUGGUGCUAUGGCAAUGCAAAGUAAUUUGGAACAUCUCCGGGGCUUCACUACAGCCCUUCUAAGAUCUAGGCCUCUAAAUCAGAGCCUCUGAAUUUAAGCUCCCUUCAUUUGCUGGCUCCUAUGGUAGCAGCAUUAUUUUCCUGGCCUUCGUUUUGUUUUGUUUUUUCUCCCUGCCGAUAUUGUGCCAUCACCAACAAUUGCAUGUCUCGGCAAAACCACGUGGGGUUUGGUUUGGGUUUUCUUUGCCCAGGAUUAUCGUGCUGCCUCUCAACAAGGCUUAGUUUGCCUUUUUCCUCUCCCCCCCCCCCUUCUUCUCUUCCUCCUUCGCCUCCACUGUUACAGAAAGAAUCUCAGGCUGGUUUGUCAUCAUUUGUCACUAUACCAAAUGGUGCCUUGACGUCUCAACAAUUGUGACGCCUUUGUUAUCCAACAUGGAAGAGGGUGGGGGCUGGUUGCUAUGGAGGCAUAGUGUCUGAUAUCACUCAGUCUCCUGCCUGAUAUCACUUAAGGCCACAGCAAUGAUAACAACUGACAGCGAAGGAAACGCCAUGCCUGGAGGGGUGUUGAUCAAAGCAACGGACAAUCUAAUUUAUUUGCUCUUAUUUAAUUUCGACCAGGCUACCAGACCAAAGAAUAUAAAUAACAUAGUCAUCCUAAUGCCUAUUUAAUCCAUGCCACGAUUCCAGGUUUUUCUGACAUAGAUGAGGUCUGGGAAUCGAGGGAGGAAGGAGAACUAGGGACCCUGGAAUCCUGGAAAUUUUCUUCCACCUAAGGAGGCAGAGCAGAAUGGAUCAUUUCGGUGCAGCGGGAGACUCAAAGACUCCCUGCUAGCGGGAGGGGAAUGCAACUCCCUCAAAUUGUGGGAUAAUGUUGUUUGCUGUCUCUCGUCUCUGAAUGAUGCUAGGUUUUUCUCUGAGGCUAUCCAGAAAAGUGAAUUCUACAUACACUACAACACCAUCUGGUGAUUUCCCAUUGGUGCAUCUCCCUGGGCCCCAGGGAUUAAAUUUCUUAGUGCUGCAUAUGAGUUUAGGAUUCCAUUUCUGAAGUAUCUGAAUGUGAAUUCUGCUCUUAUGGCUGAAUCCGCUCUUAUUGGCUUGGUUAACUUCAAAUGGUGCUGAUAAUGCAAAAUGAUAAGAGCCUUGAUUGAAAAUUGUUGAAAAGACACUAAGGAAAAAAAAAUGCUAACAGAGAGGCUGUACAGGUGGUCCACAACGUACAACCACAAUUGAGCCCAAAAUUUAUGUUGCUAAGCGAGAAAUUUGCUAAGUGAGUUUUGCCCCAUUUUUAUGACACUUCUUAACAUAUUUGUUAAGUUGUUAAAUUAG